UAGCUUGGUAAACCCUAUCCGGAGCAAGAUCAAAUAGGAAAGUGCUUGAGGGCGGCCCGUCCGAUACUUUCGGGUUGAUUGCUUGAGCCUGUUGGCAACAGCAGGCCUAGAUUAAUGGUCACCACUUCAUGUUUCAUGAAGUACAAAACCCGGCUUAUGGUUUACUUCGGCCA
Molecule: RNase P RNA, 173 nt
Filed under: Nitrospina sp.
Lineage: Bacteria; Pseudomonadati; Nitrospinota; Nitrospinia; Nitrospinales; Nitrospinaceae
Description: partial RNase P RNA component class A
Rfam family: Bacterial RNase P class A
About the family: Ribonuclease P (RNase P) is a ubiquitous endoribonuclease, found in archaea, bacteria and eukarya as well as chloroplasts and mitochondria. Its best characterised activity is the generation of mature 5'-ends of tRNAs by cleaving the 5'-leader elements of precursor-tRNAs.
Source: RNAcentral